This 503-nucleotide ribosomal RNA is filed under the name uncultured bacterium. RNAcentral describes it as "SSU rRNA". It matches the Rfam family "Bacterial small subunit ribosomal RNA", at positions 26 to 518 of the family's 1533-position model. The record is from RNAcentral.
AGGACGAACGCUGGCGGCGCGCUUAACACAUGCAAGUCGAGCGAGAACCUGGCCUUCGGGCCUGGGGAAAGCGGCGAACGGGUGAGUAACACGUGGGUAACCCACCCUUGGUACCGGGAUAGCCCGAGGAAACUCGGAUUAAUACCGGAUGGCCCAACAGCUCUUCGGGGCGGUUGGAAAAGGUAGCUUCGGCCUCCGACCAAGGACGGGCCCGCGGCGGAUUAGCUUGUUGGUGAGGUAACGGCCCACCAAGGCGACGAUCCGUAGCUGGUCUGAGAGGACGAUCAGCCACACUGGGACUGAGACACGGCCCAGACUCCUACGGGAGGCAGCAGUGGGGAAUCUUGCGCAAUGGGCGAAAGCCUGACGCAGCGACGCCGCGUGGGGAAGAAGGCUUUCGGGUUGUAAACCCCUUUCAGGAAGGACGAAGCCACUCGGGUGAAUAGCCCAGAGGGUGACGGUACUUCCAGAAGAAGCCCGGCUAACUACAUGCCAGCAGCCGC